GAGACCCCAUAGAACAUCUCAGAGAGGUCCUGAGGGCCUCCAAUUCACUGUGGGUUUGUAGGACAUGGUGGAGACCCCAUAAAACAUCUCAGAGAGGUCCUGAGAUUGUCAUGAGGGGCUCCAAAGUCACUGUGGGUUUGUAGGACAUGGUGGUGACCCCACAGAACAUCUCCAGGGACCCCAAACCCUCACGGGGACUCCCAAGUUGAGCCUGAGAACCUGUAGGGCACCGUGGGGACACCAUAAAACAUCUCCAGGAGGUCCUGAGGUCACCUCGGGGACACUGGGGUCACUGCCAGCUCUGUAGGACACCGUGAGGACACCAUAAAGUGUCACCCUGGGUCACCUCGGGGACACUGGGGUCACUGCCAGGUCUGUAGGACACCGUGGGGACACCAUAAAGUGUCACCCUGGGUCACCUCGGGGGUCUGUGGGACACUGGGGACCCCCCAUGGGGACAGGUCGGUGCUUUUGG
Passer montanus (Eurasian tree sparrow) is the source of this 475-nucleotide long non-coding RNA. RefSeq lists it as uncharacterized. The transcript is spliced from 3 exons. NCBI's taxonomy places the organism in Eukaryota, Metazoa, Chordata, Aves, Passeriformes, Passeridae. The record is from RefSeq and is a predicted model, not a curated record.